UAACCAGAAGUGCAAUUGUAAUGAUCUCAGUACUUUUGCUGGGCUGAUCAUCCACCCUACACACCUGCCCAAAUUCUGCCAAGUCCUCAAUCAGCCUUCAUCUGAUCCACCUGUCUCCAGCUCCAUUUAAUCAGCCUUCUGUCCAAGCAAAAGUGCCAGAACGUCUUGUGCCACCUCGGUGAGACUAUCCAGCAUUCUCUAUUAUCUGCCUGCCUGCCUGCCUGCCUGUUUGUUGCCCAACCUGAUCUGUUUUUUGUCUCUGAGUCUGCCUAACCCCUUUCAAGCUCUGUUGCCGGUCUGGACUCCCACCGAUCAGCCCGUGGUCCUCUGCAUCGGACUGGACUCAUCCUGGACCUCUGAAUCUGGACUGCCUGCCUGUUGCCCGACCCCGAUCUGUUUGUGAGUAACCGCAUCUGUCUAACCCCUGUGUGCCUCUGAACUCAGCCGGACUAAGGACCUGGACUGGACCCCGACCCGCUCUGGACUAUCCCUCGGACCUUCUCAGGAUUUCGGAUUCCACCGGAACUGGACUGCCUGCCUGUUGCCCGACCCCGAUCUGUUUGUGAGUAACCGCAUCUGACUAACCCCUGUGAACCUCUGAACUCAGCCGGAUUAAGGACCUGGACUGGACCCCGACCCGCUCUGGAUCCGUCCCUGGACCCUCUCUGGACUUCUAACCCCUCGGCUCCUUCCCCGGACCCCCGUUUCUCUGCCCCGCUUCCUCGUUACUAGCCGGCGCUCGGAUUACCCGACUCUCCAGGGUUCCUGCAGACGUGAGCCGCUCGGGUUGCCGUGCGACCGCCAUUAAAUAAACACUUGAAAGCGUCA
Long non-coding RNA from Fundulus heteroclitus (mummichog), 828 nucleotides. RefSeq lists it as uncharacterized. The record is from RefSeq and is a predicted model, not a curated record. The transcript is spliced from 2 exons. Lineage: Eukaryota; Metazoa; Chordata; Actinopteri; Cyprinodontiformes; Fundulidae.